This 496-nucleotide ribosomal RNA is filed under the name Atopochetus weseneri. RNAcentral describes it as "partial 16S ribosomal RNA". It matches the Rfam family "Bacterial large subunit ribosomal RNA", at positions 1830 to 2597 of the family's 2925-position model. Lineage: Eukaryota; Metazoa; Arthropoda; Diplopoda; Spirobolida; Pachybolidae. The record is from RNAcentral.
GGUUUUUCGUUGGUGUAGGAAAAAUCAGGCCUGCCCACUGAAGUAAUUUGAAGGGCUGCAGUAUAUUAACUGUACAAAGGUAGCAUAAUCAUUAGUCUUUUGAUUGGGGACUGGAAUGAAAGGUUUGACAAGCUUUGACUGUCUCUUUGGUACUAGGUGAAUUUUUUUUUUUGUGAAAAAUCAUAGAUGAGUCAGAGGGACGAGAAGACCCUAUUAAACUUUUUUUAUUUUUAGUUAUUUUUUUAUUGAUGAAAAGGUUAGGUAAAUUGAAAUUUACUGGGGCGGUAAGUUAUGUACAUUAUUUUUGUGCAACAUUUUAUUUGACUGAUGAGUAGAUCCAAGGGAUUGAUAAGGAGAAAUAGUUACUAUAGGGAUAACAGCGUAAUAUUUUUUGAGAGUUCAUAUUGACAAAAAUGUUUGCGACCUCGAUGUUGGAUUAAGAAGUCUUUUGGGUGCAGGAGCCUAUUGAGAUGGUCUGUUCGACAAUUAAAUUCUU